CAUGUUAGGUUUUUUAGAAUAAUAUAUAAUUGUCUAAAUAAUUUACAAUUAAUUUGAAUUUGCUAGAAACAGAAAAAUAUUACAAUGGUUUAAUUGCUUAAGUAAAGUUUAUUGGUAUUAAAUUAUUUGCUUUUUUUAAGUCAUUUAAAUAGGAAUAUAAUUAAAUACUUAAUUAUUAUAAACCAAACAGUAUAGGUUAGUUAUACAUAUAAUAAUUAAAUAUAAUUUCGAUAAAAUUACAUUUUUUUAAAAAAAUAUUAUUUCUACGCAAUACUUAAUUACAAAUUAUAAAAGAACUUUAAAACUUCUAUACAGAGUUAAUAUUACACUAUAUAAUAAUAAAAUUACUAAUAUAGGUAUUAUAAUUGUGUUUAAAUAUCAAUGAAAUAAACUAUCAAUAUAAUUUUUGUUAGUAAGUAAUCCAUUUAAUAAAAUAAAAUAAAUUCAAACAAGUAUUAUAAAUAUAAAGUCGGUAAUAUAAAAUUAAAAAACAAAAUUGGUAAAAUAUUUUGCUUAUAAAUAGAUUAAUAUAAUAAUAACACUACUGUGAAUGUGUGCAAUUACUAUCUAAUAUAUUAUAACAAAAAAUACCGGGUAUUCCAAUAUAAUAUUGUAUUCAGACAACUAGGUGUCAAAACAACUUAAUUGAUUAUUAUAAUAAUAUUUAGUUAUUGCCGUGAAUUUCACAAUGUAAUUUAUAAUCUAAUAAUAAUAACAAUAAUAAUAAUAAUAAUAAAUACAACAAUAACAAUAAUAAUAAAAAUAAUAAUAAUAAUGGUAAUAAAAUAUUGUAUAUAACAAGAAAAUAAUAUCUCUAAAUAAAUUUAUUUUAAAAUAAAUAAUUGAUUUAUGCUAAUAGAUUUAUUUAUAUUACAGUGAACUCUGCUAUAUUAAUAAUUGAAAUAGUAUCCUAUUAAAAUUUAACCAUGUCCAUUAAUUUUACAUGGAGAUAUGAUUGAGAGGCUUUAAAUGUAGAUAUUUUAUACAUUUUAAUAAUUAAAAUUUAAUUUAUAAAAAACUAUUUUUUUUUUAAAAAAUAAUUUAUUAGAAGAUAUUAUUUUGUUUGUGUCAGAGAUAUUUUUAUCAUAAAUAUUUGGAUGCAGUGUUCAAUUCAGCAAU
Non-coding RNA from Cinara cedri, 1119 nucleotides. NCBI's taxonomy places the organism in Eukaryota, Metazoa, Arthropoda, Insecta, Hemiptera, Aphididae. The record is from the annotation of a GenBank genome assembly.